GAUGAACGCUAGCUACAGGCUUAACACAUGCAAGUCGAGGGGAAACGGCAUUGAGUGCUUGCACUCUUUGGACGUCGACCGGCGCACGGGUGAGUAACGCGUAUCCAACCUUCCCAUUACUGUGGGAUAACCUGCCGAAAGGCAGACUAAUACCGCAUAGUCUUCGAUGACGGCAUCAGAUUUGAAGUAAAGAUUUAUCGGUAAUGGAUGGGGAUGCGUCUGAUUAGCUUGUUGGCGGGGUAACGGCCCACCAAGGCUACGAUCAGUAGGGGUUCUGAGGGGAAGGUCCCCCACAUUGGAACUGAGACACGGUCCAAACUCCUACGGGAGGCAGCAGUGAGGAAUAUUGGUCAAUGGACGGAAGUCUGAACCAGCCAAGUAGCGUGCAGGAUGACGGCCCUAUGGGUUGUAAACUGCUUUUGUAUGGGGAUAAAGUUAGGGACGUGUCCCUAUUUGCAGGUACCAUACGAAUAAGGACCGGCUAAUUCCGUG
This 492-nucleotide ribosomal RNA is filed under the name uncultured bacterium. RNAcentral describes it as "partial 16S ribosomal RNA". It matches the Rfam family "Bacterial small subunit ribosomal RNA", at positions 28 to 507 of the family's 1533-position model. The record is from RNAcentral.